RNAcentral lists this ribosomal RNA (1381 nucleotides) under uncultured bacterium. RNAcentral describes it as "bacterial SSU rRNA". It matches the Rfam family "Bacterial small subunit ribosomal RNA". The record is from RNAcentral.
UUUGAUCAUGGCUCAGGAUGAGCGCUAGCGGCAGGCCUAGCACAUGCAAGUCGAGGGAUAAGCCCUUCGGGGUGGAAAACCGGCGCACGGGUGCGUAACGCGUAUGCAACCUACCUUUCACAGGGGGAUAGCCCGAAGAAAUUUGGAUUAAUACCCCAUAAUAUUGUUGGAUGGCAUCAUCUGAUAAUUAAAGUUACGAUGGUGAAAGAUGGGCAUGCGUCCUAUUAGCUAGUUGGAGUGGUAACGGCACCCCAAGGCUACGAUAGGUAGGGGUCCUGAGAGGGAGAUCCCCCACACUGGUACUGAGACAGGGACCAGACUCCUACGGGAGGCAGCAGUGAGGAAUAUUGGUCAAUGGUCGAAAGACUGAACCAGCCAUGCCGCGUGCAGGACAGACGGCCCUAGAGGUUGUAAACUGCUUUUAUAUGGGAAGAAUAAGGAGCACGUGUGCUUUGAUGACGGUACCAUAUGAAUAAGCAUCGGCUAACUCCGUGCCAGCAGCCGCGGUAAUACGGAGGAUGCGAGCGUUAUUCGGAAUCAUUGGGUUUAAAGGGUCUGUAGGCGGGCUAUUAAGUCAGGGGUGAAAGGUUUCAGCUUAACUGAGAAAUUGCCUUUGAUACUGGUAGUCUUGAAUAUCUGUGAAGUUCUUGGAAUGUGUAGUGUAGCGGUGAAAUGCUUAGAUAUUACACAGAACACCGAUUGCGGAGGCAGGGGACUAACAGAUGAUUGACGCUGAGAGACGAAAGCGUGGGGAGCGAACAGGAUUAGAUACCCUGGUAGUCCACGCUGUAAACGAUGGAUACUAGCUGUUUGGCGUAAGCUGAGUGGCUAAGCGAAAGUGAUAAGUAUCCCACCUGGGGAGUACGCACGCAAGUGUGAAACUCAAAGGAAUUGACGGGGGCCCGCACAAGCGGUGGAGCAUGUGGUUUAAUUCGAUGAUACGCGAGGAACCUUACCAAGGUUUAAAUGAGAACUGACAGGGGUAGAGAUACCUUUUUCUUCGGACAGUUUUCAAGGUGCUGCAUGGUUGUCGUCAGCUCGUGCCGUGAGGUGUCAGGUUAAGUCCUAUAACGAGCGCAACCCCUAUUGUUAGUUACCAGCACGUAAUGGUGGGGACUCUAGCAAGACUGCCGGUGUAAACCGCGAGGAAGGUGGGGAUGACGUCAAAUCAUCACGGCCCUUACAUCUUGGGCUACACACGUGCUACAAUGGUCGUUACAGAGAGCAGCCACUGCGCGAGCAGGAGCGAAUCUAUAAAGACGGUCACAGUUCGGUAUCGGAGUCUGCGAACUCGACUCCGUGAAAGCUGGAAUCGCUAGUAAUCGGAUAUCAGCCGUGAAUCCGGUGAAAUACGUUUCCCGGGCUCUUGUACCCACCGCCC